UUCGCGGCCUAUCAGCUUGUUGGUGAGGUAACGGCUCACCAAGGCGACGACGGGUAGCCGGCCUGAGAGGGUGACCGGCCACACUGGGACUGAGACACGGCCCAGACUCCUACGGGAGGCAGCAGUGGGGAAUAUUGCACAAUGGGCGCAAGCCUGAUGCAGCAACGCCGCGUGAGGGACGACGGCCUUCGGGUUGUAAACCUCUUUCAGCAGGGACGAAGCGCAAGUGACGGUACCUGCAGAAGAAGCACCGGCUAACUACGUGCCAGCAGCCGCGGUAAUACGUAGGGUGCAAGCGUUGUCCGGAAUUACUGGGCGUAAAGAGUUCGUAGGCGGUUUGUCGCGUCGUUUGUGAAAACCAGCAGCUCAACUGCUGGCUUGCAGGCGAUACGGGCAGACUUGAGUACUGCAGGGGAGACUGGAAUUCCUGGUGUAGCGGUGAAAUGCGCAGAUAUCAGGAGGAACACCGGUGGCGAAGGCGGGUCUCUGGGCAGUAACUGACGCUGAGGAACGAAAGCGUGGGUAGCGAACAGGAUUAGAUACCCUGGUAGUCCACGCCGUAAACGGUGGGCGCUAGGUGUGGGUUCCUUCCACGGAAUCCGUGCCGUAGCUAACGCAUUAAGCGCCCCG
RNAcentral lists this ribosomal RNA (630 nucleotides) under uncultured Actinomycetes bacterium. Its description in RNAcentral is "bacterial SSU rRNA". It matches the Rfam family "Bacterial small subunit ribosomal RNA", at positions 230 to 871 of the family's 1533-position model. The record is from RNAcentral. Lineage: Bacteria; Bacillati; Actinomycetota; Actinomycetes.